This 298-nucleotide long non-coding RNA is filed under the name Pan troglodytes (chimpanzee). RNAcentral describes it as "long non-coding RNA NONPTRT001532". The record is from RNAcentral. Lineage: Eukaryota; Metazoa; Chordata; Mammalia; Primates; Hominidae.
GGGGUAUAGGGCAAGCUUCAGCAGACUAGUUUUUGUCCCAUGAUUAAGCUAUGGCUGAUGUCCUUGGUGAUGGUGGAAACUCCUCGCUCACUAUCUCUGAAGGUCCUAUUGUCUCUGAGCGCAGGCUUAACCAGGAAGUAGCGCUGAACUUAAAAGAAGAUCAUGAAGUAGAAGUUGGUGUACUAAAAGAAAGUGUUGACUUACCAGAAGAAAAGCUUCCAAUUUCUGACAGCCCUCCUGAUACUCAAGAAAUUCAUGAGAGGUACUGAACUUGAAAGCCUUAGGAAUUUCAUGGUUU